Molecule: ribosomal RNA, 507 nt
Filed under: uncultured bacterium
Lineage: Bacteria
Description: bacterial SSU rRNA
Rfam family: Bacterial small subunit ribosomal RNA
Source: RNAcentral
GAGUUUGAUCCUGGCUCAGGACGAACGCUGGCGGCGCGCCUAACACAUGCAAGUCGAACGGAGCUUAGAGAGCUUGCUUUUUAAGCUUAGUGGCGAACGGGUGAGUAACGCGUGAGUAACCUGCCCUAGAGUGGGGGACAACAGUUGGAAACGACUGCUAAUACCGCAUAAGCCCACGGUACCGCAUGGUACUGAGGGAAAAGGAUUUAUUCGCUUUAGGAUGGACUCGCGUCCAAUUAGCUAGUUGGUGAGGUAACGGCCCACCAAGGCGACGAUUGGUAGCCGGACUGAGAGGUUGAACGGCCACAUUGGGACUGAGACACGGCCCAGACUCCUACGGGAGGCAGCAGUGGGGGAUAUUGCACAAUGGGGGAAACCCUGAUGCAGCGACGCCGCGUGGAGGAAGAAGGUUUUCGGAUUGUAAACUUAUUUUAUCAGGGAAGAAAAAAAUGACAGUACCUGAAGAAGAAGGACCGGCUAACUACGUGCCAGCCGCCGCGGUAAUAC